UGAACUCAGCACCCCCCCUGCAGUGCUGCCCCAGAGAGGAGCGCGCGGGCCUGGUGCGUCUCUGCACGGAGACCACGUGGUCCGGGGCUUCAGCGCUACGUGUGAAACGCUUGUACACGUGUGUAGAUGUGCACAUCACGUGAUGAGGAGGCGCACCGUUUACUGCUCGAGCUGCUGGCACCGAAGUUCCGCGUGCAGUAGGCACUGUCUUUGAGAAGCUGCCUUGAGAAGCCACUGGACUAGACAGAGAGACUUUGAACCCCCAAGUACCGAGCUGGCCUGCUGGUGAAAACGGAAAAAUUUCACCUCUUGCUCCUGAAAUGAGGGAGGAGGACAAAAAUAGAAAGAAGACCAAAAAAUGGUGGAAAAGGAGGGUAAGACAGAGCAGAAGGUAAGACGGCGAGAUGCCGGGUGCCUUGUGGGGAGGCAGAGCCCGCGGGAACGUGGAGUUGGAGGGGCUUUGAGGACGCGGAGCGGCUCUGUACUGCUUUACCGUUUUUCUAAGUUUAAAAAAAAGGAAAGAAAAACUCACAUGUGGCCCAGGGGUGCUGGCCCUGCGGUGCACCCCGAACCACGCUAGGACGCCUGUCCCGCCGCUGCUUGGGCCGGCUGGUGUGCGCGGUGGGGUAGGAGGCUGGGCCUCGCGGGCACAUCUACAGGGGUGGGGAGCGGGGGGCCGGGGAGCGGAGCCCGGAGACCACGGACACCGUGAGACAAAGGUCCGUGGUUGCAGCCACGCUGAUCUGGGUUUUAAAGGGGCUGGGGAGCUCCAGCUGACAGCCAGGACGCCGCACACACUCCACUAAACGAUUAGACCAGAUGCCAACACAUUUCCAGACCUCCGCGCCAGAGAUGCUGCAAAAGCACGCAGAUGCCAUCAAGCUGAGACGUGGAGGCAGAAGUGAAGCAGAGGCUCCCUUCCUACUGCUUUUGGCUGAUCUCUGUGGGGCUGGCUCACAUGCCGCAGUGUUUCCGCAUCCAAGUUCCAGCUCUACUGGGGCAGAGAAAGGCAGUGGUGAUGGCUUCACGUCCCUUGGCUCCGGGUCCCUGGGCUGCAGCAGGGGGGCUGCGUUCCUGGUUCCCGCCUUCCUGGCUGGGCCACGGGCAGUAGCUGCCCUGGAGGGUCAGCUCUGCAGUGUCAGGGAGGCCUUCCUGCAGGCUCAGGCAAGAGUCUGGGGCUCCCCUGCCCUUCCUUUUUUUUAUUCCAGUAUUAAGCCCCUUUCUGUUUAAAAAGCUACACUGGUUCCUGCUUCCUGCUGACUGACUCAGGACGUCAGGAAGAGUGAGAAGGCUCAGUGAGAACGACUGGGCAGACACACUGGGUAGAGAGCCACAAAGGCGGGCCCGGGGGCUCCUGCCCCAGCCAGCACUUCCUUCUCACGCAGACGCUCCUAGACAGAGGGACUGUCCUUUCUGCUGGGCCCCCAUCCCUGUCUCUGGCUGGGCGGGACUAGGCGAGGCAAACAAAGGCACCCAGUGCAGAAUUUCGGGACGUGUUCUCCCCAGGGCGGUGCAGGUGCAGGUGCAGGUGCAGGAAGGUCCCAGAGAGGGAGCGCCUCCUGAAACCUUGCACCCUGUGUGCCUCCCUUGCCCCCCCUCGUCCUGGCCCUGCUCACAGGUCUGACCUGAGUGGACCUGGCUGACCUCCGUGUGGGUGCCGAGAGUUUAUGCCUCUGUGCACCCUCUGGCUCAGAGGAGAGUCUGUGAGCACCUUCUCUGAGGCUCUCAAAUCUGAGCUCACUGUGCACGGUGCCUGCGUGAGGUCGCAGCUCCCCAUCUCUCUGCGUCCCCUCUGCUGGGUCAUCCAAUCAUGAGGCUGGAUGAAGAGAAGCACAGAGUGCAGAACGGUGGAGGGGAGAAUUCUACUUUACUCCAGCUGGACAGGUCCGCCUGGAGGGGCUACAGAUCCGUGGGGAAGCCAAGGGGCUGGGUCCCGGGAGAGCAACUGGCGAAUGGCUGACCAACAUGCAUGUGUGGAGAAGACGCUCUGCCGGGCCAGAGAGCAGGGAAGUGAAAGUAACAGGGCAGGAAGGCGCUGUUCCACCUGCUGCACAGUCAGAAGCUAAAGCGGUGGGUGACGCUGGCAGCACCACUGAUGCCCCUGCUGUGGGGAAGGGUGGGGGCAGCGCCAGAGCACCGACAGCCUUGUUUAGGAGGAAAAUGCAAGUGGGUGCCUCUCUCUCUGCUCCCUGACGGCCACGGACCUGCGGGAGGCAGACAGCAGAGCCAGUGGCUUCCCCGUCCGUCCGGCUGACAGUCACCUCUCGUCCGCCUCUGAGGGUCCCUGCGGAAGCUCGAGGAAGCAGUUGCCUGAUACCACAAGGCCACGGGGUGGGCAGCCUUGGCCCCGGGCCGCCUGACCGUCCACCCUGCCCCCUCCGCCACCAGGCACAGGCCUUGCGCCUCUUAAGCGGAUGUGAGUUCAGAGGCUGGAAUGGCUGUGCUUUCUGACUGUCCUGUGACAGCCUUUCAAAUCCUCUUGUUCUGCGGAGAAUCAGGCUGCAGUUCCGAGAUGCCGAAACCCGCCUCCCCCCAGCCACAGUCCCUGACUGGAUUUGGCACUCAAGAUCUCUGCAGAGCCCUCUCAGUUAGUUUUAUAAUAAACUUCAAAAAGCUUUC
Vicugna pacos (alpaca) is the source of this 2619-nucleotide non-coding RNA. NCBI's taxonomy places the organism in Eukaryota, Metazoa, Chordata, Mammalia, Artiodactyla, Camelidae. The record is from RefSeq and is a predicted model, not a curated record.